Molecule: ribosomal RNA, 739 nt
Filed under: Microbacterium testaceum
Lineage: Bacteria; Bacillati; Actinomycetota; Actinomycetes; Micrococcales; Microbacteriaceae
Description: bacterial SSU rRNA
Rfam family: Bacterial small subunit ribosomal RNA
Source: RNAcentral
UGCAGUCGAACGGUGAAGCCAAGCUUGCUUGGUGGAUCAGUGGCGAACGGGUGAGUAACACGUGAGCAACCUGCCCUGGACUCUGGGAUAAGCGCUGGAAACGGCGUCUAAUACUGGAUAUGAGACGUGAUCGCAUGGUCGUGUUUGGAAAGAUUUUUCGGUCUGGGAUGGGCUCGCGGCCUAUCAGCUUGUUGGUGAGGUAAUGGCUCACCAAGGCGUCGACGGGUAGCCGGCCUGAGAGGGUGACCGGCCACACUGGGACUGAGACACGGCCCAGACUCCUACGGGAGGCAGCAGUGGGGAAUAUUGCACAAUGGGCGAAAGCCUGAUGCAGCAACGCCGCGUGAGGGAUGACGGCCUUCGGGUUGUAAACCUCUUUUAGCAGGGAAGAAGCGAAAGUGACGGUACCUGCAGAAAAAGCGCCGGCUAACUACGUGCCAGCAGCCGCGGUAAUACGUAGGGCGCAAGCGUUAUCCGGAAUUAUUGGGCGUAAAGAGCUCGUAGGCGGUUUGUCGCGUCUGCUGUGAAAUCCCGAGGCUCAACCUCGGGCCUGCAGUGGGUACGGGCAGACUAGAGUGCGGUAGGGGAGAUUGGAAUUCCUGGUGUAGCGGUGGAAUGCGCAGAUAUCAGGAGGAACACCGAUGGCGAAGGCAGAUCUCUGGGCCGUAACUGACGCUGAGGAGCGAAAGGGUGGGGAGCAAACAGGCUUAGAUACCCUGGUAGUCCACCCCGUAAACGU